AGGAGAGUCGUUCCGCCAAGACAGAUGUUAAACGUCAAAAGGACAAACACAAAAAGAGACCAGUCAGUUUCAGAAGAGACAGAAAUGCCUCACGACGCCAUGCUUCGAUUGGCAGAAGGAGUUCUUCCAGUUCGGCGACUCUCUUUGCCAUUCCUUCCAAGUCACCGUCACCUUCGCCUUCGCUGACGCUAAUGCUGCUGUGAGUAACAUCCCGAGAAGACAUUCCUUCGAUCAUCUGUCUCCACAAAACACACUGUCACAACCUUCACAUUGGUAUGAGUUUUCCAAAGAGAAACAUAAUAUUAAUCCUUAACAUAGAAUACAAACUUACACCCGAGCCUUGAUGGUCGAGAGAACUAACGUCUAUAUCGUCUCUGGAAAAAUCCUCAUCGGACUGAUCUCCAUGAUUACUGUUCGCUCCGUGAACUCGAUUAAACCUCUCCGCCUUGUACUUCUCCAGCUGUAAUUUACGAAAUGAAUUUACAACUCUCUGAACUCGAACUAAUGGCUGAAUAUUUUACUUUAGGUUCAUAGAUUCCCAAGUUUUUAAUUCUUUAACAAAAUAAUCUACAGUACAGGACGCUUCCACUAAAACUAAUUGUAAUAACAGCUGCGACUAUACCAUUCCCCAACUCGACGAUGAGGUUAACCAACGUAUGAUAUAUAUACUAUGCUUAAAAUUGGGUCCACUUAAA
Orussus abietinus is the source of this 695-nucleotide long non-coding RNA. RefSeq lists it as uncharacterized. Lineage: Eukaryota; Metazoa; Arthropoda; Insecta; Hymenoptera; Orussidae. The transcript is spliced from 2 exons. The record is from RefSeq and is a predicted model, not a curated record.